CUUGAACAGAGAAGCCAUUCCGUUUUGCUCCCAACUAUUUUCCCACUUUGGAUCUUUUGCGCCGCCUAAAAACUGCAAAAUUCUACUUUCGGUUAACAACCAGCAUUAUGAUUAGAUUGAUUCGAAGUUAAACAUUAGUUCAAAAAAAUAUUACCAAAUUAUAAAUGAAACUGGUAAUAAGAAUAUACAGUAAAACGAGAGCAAAUGAAAAAAUUACCCAAAUCAUAAAUUCAUAUUUCGCGAUAAAGAACCAUUGGUAAACCAAACAAAAAGCUAAGAUUUAUGCACUGCCCGUAAAAUCUUGAUAUUUUCAUUUUAUGAGAGGGGGAGGGGGGGAAGCGGAAAACUUACAAAUUG
RNAcentral lists this long non-coding RNA (357 nucleotides) under Nicotiana tabacum (common tobacco). Its description in RNAcentral is "long non-coding RNA (NTAB_LNC004688)". Lineage: Eukaryota; Viridiplantae; Streptophyta; Magnoliopsida; Solanales; Solanaceae. The record is from RNAcentral.